This 406-nucleotide ribosomal RNA is filed under the name uncultured bacterium. RNAcentral's name for it is "partial 16S ribosomal RNA". It matches the Rfam family "Bacterial small subunit ribosomal RNA", at positions 30 to 526 of the family's 1533-position model. The record is from RNAcentral.
AUUGAACGCUGGCGGCAGGCCUAACACAUGCAAGUCGAGCGAGUGGCGGACGGGUGAGUAAUGUCUGGGGACCUGCCUGAUGGAGGGGGAUAACUACUGGAAACGGUGGCUAAUACCGCAUACCAUCGGAUGUGCCCAGAUGGGAUUAGCUAGUUGGUGGGGUAACGGCUCACCUAGGCGACGAUCCCUAGCUGGUCUGAGAGGAUGAUCAGCCACACUGGGACUGAGACACGGCCCAGACUCCUACGGGAGGCAGCAGUGGGGAAUAUUGCACAAUGGGCGCAAGCCUGAUGCAGCCAUGCCGCGUGUAUGAAGAAGGCUUUCGGGUUGUAAAGUACUUUCAGCGGGGAGGCGUUACUCGCAGAAGAAGCACCGGCUAACUCCGUGCCAGCAGCCGCGGUAAUAC